UUCCCAUUUUGCCUUAAUAACAAACGUACCACACCAUUAUUUUCUCUCUAGCUAAUUAUUUUGUUGUUUCAAUAUGCAAGGAAGCAACAACGUGACUUCCAUUUAUAUGGAAACAACGCAGUUUUGAAUUGAUAGAGCACCAACGUGACUUGGUAUUUUACGGAAGAAAAAUGUAGUUUUUUUUUUCUCAAGAACAAUAUUCGGAUUUUGCUCACUGCUUCGAUCUCGUUAUUCCGUCUUAUCGUGUUGUUGAAUCCGGGCUUUCUUCGUAGUGAAGUAAGGUGGAAGAAGAUUAUUUCUUGGAAUAUAAGACCUGCAAGCUCGAGAAGUAGACGUUGGACAUUAGAUAGAGUUCAAGGUAGACAGGGAGGUGAGCUUGAUCCAGAUUCUUAGUAGCUGUCAGAUGAUUGAGAGCACUCCAUUGUUCGGAGGUGCUUAUGAUUCUUCUUUUGGUAUAUAUGCAUAUUUUGGGCACAACGGAGUCUUGUUCCGUCUAUAUGUUUAGUAUGUCAGUAGAGGCUCGUAGAUACGCAGUGUGGGUCAGAUGGUCUCACAAGAUGUUAUUAUUAUGUAUAUAUUAUUUUGGUGGCCGAGAGGCAAAAGUGGUAUAAGUAUUUAUGUUUCUAUAUAAAAUAUAAUUUUCCUACAAUUCGUGUAUAAAAUUGGUAAAAGAGCAUUAAAUGAGUAAGAUGAGUAUUAGAGCGAGUGGUGCUCGGUGGCUAGCCCCGGGUACCCGUCACGGUCCCUAGCUGGGUCGUGACAAAAGUGGUAUCAGAGCAGUUCGUCCUAGGAAGUGUCUACGAGCCGUGUCUAGUAGAGUCUUGUUUAUGGUGUGUAGCGCGCCACGCCAAUAAACAGGAGGCUACCGGGCAUUUAGGAAAAAUGACCAUCUUUCAUCUUAAGAGAUCGUGCGAUAGAGCCAAAAGAUAGGAAAUGGUAUCCCUUAUAUACUGAACUUUGAUUUCAGCAAGAGAGUGGUGUCGACAAGAGAAGACAAAUAAUGCUACUGGAAAUUACAGAGAUUAAUAUAUCAUUGAGGUUACGUUAUCAGAAAUUGUAUAUACGGAAUGGCGACUGGUCAUCAUCACGGUUAGUAAUUGUGAAUAUAGUAAGAAAAUGGAUUGAAUGUAUAUAUAUUGAUGAUAAGUUCAGUUACAAAGUGUGAACAGAAGAAGCUGAAGAAAUUAGUAAAAAGAUAAGUAA
This is a long non-coding RNA of Lycium barbarum (goji berry), 1203 nucleotides long. RefSeq lists it as uncharacterized. The transcript has 3 exons. The record is from RefSeq and is a predicted model, not a curated record. Lineage: Eukaryota; Viridiplantae; Streptophyta; Magnoliopsida; Solanales; Solanaceae.